RNAcentral lists this ribosomal RNA (498 nucleotides) under uncultured bacterium. Its description in RNAcentral is "partial 16S ribosomal RNA". It matches the Rfam family "Bacterial small subunit ribosomal RNA", at positions 28 to 507 of the family's 1533-position model. The record is from RNAcentral.
GACGAACGCUGGCGGCGUGCCUAAUACAUGCAAGUCGAACGAGAGCACCCGGUGCUUGCACUGGUCAAUCUAGUGGCGAACGGGUGAGUAACACGUGGGUAACCUGCCCAUCAGAGGGGGAUAACAUCCGGAAACGGAUGCUAAAGCCGCAUAGGUCUUCGAACCGCAUGGUUUGAAGAGGAAAAGAGGCGCAAGCUUCUGCUGAUGGAUGGACCCGCGGUGCAUUAGCUAGUUGGUGAGGUAACGGCUCACCAAGGCCGUGAUGCAUAGCCGACCUGAGAGGGUGAUCGGCCACAUUGGGACUGAGACACGGCCCAAACUCCUACGGGAGGCAGCAGUAGGGAAUCUUCCGCAAUGGACGCAAGUCUGACGGAGCAACGCCGCGUGAGUGAAGAAGGUUUUCGGAUCGUAAAACUCUGUUGUUAGAGAAGAACAAGUGCUAGAGUAACUGUUAGCGCCUUGACGGUAUCUAACCAGAAAGCCACGGCUAACUACGUG